RNAcentral lists this unclassified non-coding RNA (200 nucleotides) under Capnodiales sp. Its description in RNAcentral is "partial internal transcribed spacer 2". The record is from RNAcentral. Lineage: Eukaryota; Fungi; Ascomycota; Dothideomycetes; Capnodiales.
UUAAGUUCAGCGGGUAUCCCUACCCGAUCCGAGGUCAACCUUUAGAUAUGAUAUGUUUAACGGCGAUGGACCACCCUUUCCCAAAGCGAAUUUGAUUCACAACGCUGAGUUCGGAGUUUUCCAGCCGCGAGACAUUGAGGUCGGGAUCGCCUCCCUGACCCAAUACCAAGCCUGGCUUGAUUGGUGAAAUGACGCUCGAA